UACGAAGGGGGCUAGCGUUGCUCGGAAUGACUGGGCGUAAAGGGCGCGUAGGCGGAUGGCACAGUCAGAUGUGAAAUUCCCGGGCUUAACCUGGGGGCUGCAUUUGAUACGUGUGAUCUAGAGUGAGGAAGAGGGUCGUGGAAUUCCCAGUGUAGAGGUGAAAUUCGUAGAUAUUGGGAAGAACACCGGUGGCGAAGGCGGCGACCUGGUCCUUGACUGACGCUGAGGCGCGAAAACGUGGGGAGCAAACAGG
This 253-nucleotide ribosomal RNA is filed under the name uncultured bacterium. RNAcentral describes it as "partial 16S ribosomal RNA". It matches the Rfam family "Bacterial small subunit ribosomal RNA", at positions 524 to 776 of the family's 1533-position model. The record is from RNAcentral.